Budorcas taxicolor (takin) is the source of this 495-nucleotide non-coding RNA. Lineage: Eukaryota; Metazoa; Chordata; Mammalia; Artiodactyla; Bovidae. The record is from the annotation of a RefSeq genome assembly.
AUGAUGCGGGUCCCAGCGCUGCUUCUGGUUUUCCUGGCUCCUGUCAUGCAGGUGUCUUCCAACAUGGAAGGGGAGAAGAUGUCAAUUACUAAGGCAGCUGUGCCUGGGGCAUUUGUUGAAAUCAUUUGUGAUCUUAUCACCCAAACCGUCAAAUAUAUCCACUGGUACAAGUACCAGGAGGGCACAGCUCCCCGACGCCUUCUUUACUACGACAUCUCCUACUCAAAGAUUGUGUUGGAAUCAGGAGUCAGUGAAGGGAAGUACAAAGUUUAUAAAGAGAAGAGCUAUACUUUUGCAAUCUCAAACCUGCAAGAAAGUGAUUCUGGAAUGUACUACUGUGCUGUCUGGGAGAAGCACGUUGGUUUAGACUUCCUUUACACUGCACUGGAAAUUUUGCUUGUCACGGCCCAGCACAGCCAUGGUAUACAGUAUAGACCAGCCCUUGCCACACUUACUCCCCCAAUUCUCUUUACUCUGAAGGAAGAGAAAUCCUGA